RNAcentral lists this ribosomal RNA (239 nucleotides) under uncultured bacterium. Its description in RNAcentral is "partial 16S ribosomal RNA". It matches the Rfam family "Bacterial small subunit ribosomal RNA", at positions 15 to 236 of the family's 1533-position model. The record is from RNAcentral.
GAUCCUGGCUCAGGAUGAACGCUGGCGGCGUGCUUAACACAUGCAAGUCGAACGAAGCACUUUAUUUGAUUUCUUCGGAAUGAAGAUUUUGUGACUGAGUGGCGGACGGGUGAGUAACGCGUGGGUAACCUGCCUCAUACAGGGGGAUAACAGUUGGAAACGACUGCUAAUACCGCAUAAGCGCACAGGGUCGCAUGACCUGGUGUGAAAAACUCCGGUGGUAUGAGAUGGACCCGCGU